RNAcentral lists this ribosomal RNA (433 nucleotides) under uncultured bacterium. RNAcentral's name for it is "partial 16S ribosomal RNA". It matches the Rfam family "Bacterial small subunit ribosomal RNA", at positions 29 to 507 of the family's 1533-position model. The record is from RNAcentral.
AACGAACGCUGGCGGCAUGCCUAACACAUGCAAGUCGAACGAUGCCUUCGGGCAUAGUGGCGCACGGGUGCGUAACGCGUGGGAAUCUGCCUUUCGGUUCGGAAUAACUCAGGGAAACUUGAGCUAAUACCGGAUAACGUCGCAAGACCAAAGAUUUAUCACCGAAAGAUGAGCCGGCGUAGGAUUAGCUAGUUGGUGAGGUAAAGGCUCACCAAGGCGACGAUCCUUAGCUGGUCUGAGAGGAUGAUCAGCCACACUGGGACUGAGACACGGCCCAGACUCCUACGGGAGGCAGCAGUGGGGAAUAUUGGACAAUGGGCGGAAGCAUGAACCAGCAAUGCCGGGUGAGUGAUGAAGGUCUUAGGGUUGUAAAGCUCUUUUACCCGGGAAGAUAAUGACGGUACCGGGAGAAUAAGCCCCGGCUAACUCCGUG